GACAGAGGGGGCUAGCGUUGUUCGGAAUCAUUGGGUGUAAAGGGUGCGUAGGCGGUCUUUUUUGUAAGGUGUGAAAGCCCCGGGCUUAACCUGGGAAUGGCACUUUAAACGGGAAGACUAGAGUAUGGAAGAGGAAAGCGGAAUUCCUAGUGUAGAGGUGAAAUUCGUAGAUAUUAGGAAGAACACCAGAGGCGAAGGCGGCUUUCUGGUCCAUAACUGACGCUGAGGCACGAAAGCGUGGGGAGCAAACAGG
This 253-nucleotide unclassified non-coding RNA is filed under the name uncultured Alphaproteobacteria bacterium. Its description in RNAcentral is "contains 16S-23S intergenic spacer region". It matches the Rfam family "Bacterial small subunit ribosomal RNA", at positions 524 to 776 of the family's 1533-position model. The record is from RNAcentral. Lineage: Bacteria; Pseudomonadati; Pseudomonadota; Alphaproteobacteria.